CAGUCGCCGCGGUAAUACGAAGGGUGCAAGCGUUAAUCGGAAUUACUGGGCGUAAAGCGUGCGUAGGCGGUGAGUUAAGUCUGCUGUGAAAUCCCCGGGCUCAACCUGGGAAUGGCAGUGGAUACUGGCUCGCUAGAGUGUGUCAGAGGAUGGUGGAAUUCCCGGCGUAGCGGUGAAAUGCGUAGAGAUCGGGAGGAACAUCAGUGGCGAAGGCGGCCAUCUGGGACAACACUGACGCUGAGGCACGAAAGCGUGGGGAGCAAACAGGAUUAGAUACCCCUGUAGUCCCUGUCUCUUAUAC
Molecule: ribosomal RNA, 301 nt
Filed under: uncultured bacterium
Lineage: Bacteria
Description: partial 16S ribosomal RNA
Rfam family: Bacterial small subunit ribosomal RNA
Source: RNAcentral